Molecule: ribosomal RNA, 292 nt
Filed under: uncultured bacterium
Lineage: Bacteria
Description: partial 16S ribosomal RNA
Rfam family: Bacterial small subunit ribosomal RNA
Source: RNAcentral
GUGCCAGCAGCCGCGGUAAUACGGAGGAUCCGAGCGUUAUCCGGAUUUAUUGGGUUUAAAGGGUGCGUAGGCGGCUUUUUAAGUCAGGGGUGAAAGACGGCAGCUCAACUGUCGCAGUGCCUUUGAUACUGAAGAGCUUGAAUGCACUUGAAGUAGGCGGAAUGUGACAAGUAGCGGUGAAAUGCAUAGAUAUGUCACAGAACACCAAUUGCGAAGGCAGCUUACUAAAGUGUGAUUGACGCUGAGGCACGAAAGCGUGGGGAUCAAACAGGAUUAGAUACCCUAGUAGUCC